Molecule: non-coding RNA, 3884 nt
Organism: Macaca mulatta (Rhesus monkey)
Lineage: Eukaryota; Metazoa; Chordata; Mammalia; Primates; Cercopithecidae
Source: RefSeq, a predicted model, not a curated record
UUUUUUUUUUUUUUUUUUUUUUUUUUUUUUUUUAAUUUAGAUGUGAUGUUUGUUUCGAGCUCUCGCCUUGUGCACGGUUAAAGUCGCGGCGACAGAAUUAUCGAAAGAUUCCUGCAGCGGAGAGAAGAGAGAGACGAGUCAGCUCGGGCGCCGGCGGAGCCCCGGCUCCCGGCACCUGGGGAAGGAAAACACGCCCCAACACACGCGCCUCUGCGGGCGCCAAAAAUAACCCGCGCGGGCCGGGCGCCCACCCCGGGGCAACCCGCGCCCACCUCAGGGGCCCCAGGCAACCAGCUCGAAGUAACAGGGCGCCCACGUCAGGGGCUCGGGGCGCGCUCCCCCGGGGCUCAGAGCAACUGGGGUCGGAGCACCCGCCACGCAGGAAAAGGCGCCCACCUCCGGCGAAGGACGAGGGGAAGUAGCGGCCGCCCCGACGCUCUCUGGACACGCGGAGGCGGCUCCCGAAGGUCUCCCGGCCCGGGCGGGCGGGGGGCGACGCGCGGGUCUCUCCGGACCCUAACUCCCCAAAGGCCGCCGCGUGCCGAGCUCUGUCACGUCCCUCAGAGCCCCGGUUGAGGCCCGCGGCGCCGAGAGGAAGCGCACGGUGGACAGGGGCGGCCGGGUGUGACAAUCGCCGUGCGGCCCCAGGGCAGCUCCCGGAGGGGGCAGCCCAGACCCACCCCACCCGCCGGCUGCUGUCUCCUCCUGAGCUCGGCGCUGCCCCCUACAGGCCGCGUGGUCCCUCCUCGGUCGCCCCCUGACCCACCGCGAGCCGCCCAGCUCCCGCUCUAGAUUGCCGCCGUCGCGGCUGCUGUCACCGAGGCCGGGUCAUCGGGCCGCGGGUACCUCAAAGCCGAGUGGACUGGAGACCCAAUUCCUUGCCUAUCUUUCGCCUCCCCCGAGCUGCUGCAACUGUCAGUCACCCGCCCGGAACCCCGAGGGGCAACUACCGCGCAGGCCUCGGAGCCCGGAACCAGGGUCCUGGGGCUUAGGAUCUCGGCCGCUGCGCCUCAUUCCUGCCCCAGCCCCGCGCACUGAACUCGUUUCCUUCCCACCCAGCUCGGGACGCUCCUCUCUGACUUCCCCAGUGGGUCAGACCCAUUUCAUACACUGAAACCAAUUCCGUUCUGUUGGGCUCCUGAUUGAUUCAACUAGCUGGAAGGAUGCUGAGGCAGGGGUGAAGGCUGGGGUGGCUGGCAGGCUGUGAGAGGCAGAGGACAUCAGCAGAGCCUAUUUCGUGCCCUCUGAGUCUCCACACAGAGAUUUAUCACUGAGACCUUCCCGAUUCCCCUACCAGGGAUGCCGGCUGGCCCUGCCUGCCUGCGGGGCCCAGCCUAGGUCAGGCUCAUCUUUUGGGACAGGAUCCCACUUGCAGCGUUACAGUCAGCCCCUCCUCUGGUUCUCCGGCACCCACUUAAGGCGGAGUGACUGGCCUGAAAGUCCACAGUGGUCGUGUGGCUUCCGCUCGCAAAUAUCUCCCCUGGAUCUCCCUCCCUGGAGCCAGACAAGACCCGAAACUCCGAAGCGUGAGACCCCAGCCCUUCCACCACCACCCCCGCGCCACCCCACGCCCCAGGCCUGGGCUCACCCACCUCUCCAUCCCAGGUUCCGUGGGCUCCAGCCUCCUACCCUCUCUAGCACCCCAGCCCUUCCCCAACUCGUGUGCUUUCUUUUCCAGAAAUGGAGUCCCCGCAGGGCGCGAAGGAGAAACUGAUAGUCCGCAGUAGAGUGAACUUAAAGACCUGACUUUCAUUAGCGUGGUGUUGUAACAGACUGCCUAGGAGCCUCUGAGGAAAUGGGCUUUACGUACGUAUACAUACUCGCCCUUGCCCCUGAAGCGACAUAAAAUACUUUCAUAUUAUUCUUGGGGGCGUUUUAAUUCUUCAGAUCCUCUGGAUUCGUGUUUUUGUAACCCAUCAGACGAGCUUUUGUACAUUUCUUUCCAACCUGGGCCUACACACUAACAGAAAUAAUUUUACAUCGAAGGACAAUGCUUUAGUGUUUUAUUCAGUCUCAUCUCUUUUCUUUUUUUUUUUUUUUUUCUAGUUGUGUUUCAAAAAAAAUUUCUUUUUCUGUCUUGUGAUAGUUUUGGAGGAAAAAAUAUUGAAAUAAUUCAAAUCAGGCUCUUAACUCUGCUUUAUUAAAUUUAUAGUCAUAGUAGCCUGUGAGUAUGCUUCGGGGGAGGAAAAAAAAGAAUGCUGGCGUCUUUAUUCUUCAAGUUCCCUAAUUUGGAUAUUUUUAAUAAACACCCAGAGGUGUCUCUGCCUUUUCUGUUAGUAUCUAAUCUUUCCUGCAUUUACGAGUCACUAGUAAAAUGCUAUGACAGCCAUAGAUCCGGUGGCUCUCACUGUGAGUUUCCUGGGCUGAGUAGGGACUUAACAGAGGUUUAACCCCCAGGAUGCUUUUUUAUAGAAGCACCAGCUGAUUCACCAGUGCCCUCCAAAAUGAGCACCUAUCCAUCUCACUCUGGACUCCUAACAGGUCAAACCAGGGAGCUUCGUUGAAAUAGACUUGACAUUUAAAUUAAAAUGUUUCCCAAAGCAUCUUGGCAGACCUGUAACUAAUGAUGCCAGAGGCCCAAGGCCUGUGCCAGAUUCCUUUUUAUCCCCAUAAGUGCUUGUCUCCCACAAGCCACUGGUCACACACCUGCUGAUGUUAUAGCAGUACUUCUUUAUCCCACAAACAGCCCAACUGUAGGUACCAUAUCUCAGACAUGGUGAAGGGAAGCAGCAUGUUCUUCUGACAUGUGCAAUGCUUGGCUCACAACAGUCUUUUUAAUAAGCUAAACUCAGAUUUUUCAUCACAAAUAGUGUAGUAAGUAAUUGUUUUUCCUCAUUCCUGCUUGUCUCUCUGCAGUCACUAAGUGGUUGCUGUCCAUUCCUCAUAUUACACAAGCAAUAUUAUUGAAGAAAUUGUAACUAUUUUGCCAAAAUUCUUGCUGAAGUGUUUUCAUGGCAUUGUGAAAUUCAUAGAAGUUGGAGUUAGAAAAAGAGCCAAAAUAUAAUAGUCACUCCUCAGCAAAUAUUGUCUAAUGGUUCCCUCAGACAUUUCAGAGCAGGGCAAUAAAAUAUAGGCAAGACAUUAAUAAAAUGCCCAUUCUAAAUAGCUCCAUGAUGCUUAUGCCAAUUUAUUUUAUCUAUUUGCUAAUGGUUGGAUUCUGGUGAGCAACCUGCUCAUAAUAUUUAAAGUAGAUACCUUUAAAAUCUCACUGUAUCAUGCCAACAGUACAUGGCUUUGUCGCUUUUAAAUUUUCUUCAUAUUUCAAUCCAUCUCAGAUUUUAAUCAUUGUCACUCUUCACCAAACUGUCUUCUAUUUGCAUCAUCAAUUUAAUGCCCAGAACUUGAACUAUUCAGACUCCCUGUUCCAUAAGAACCUUCCUUCAGUCUCUCAAAAUAACACUGACUCAGUUUACUGACUUCUUGCCAUCAUUUAUACCCUUGUAGGUUAUGAAUUCAUAUCUAGUUUCCAGUUCACAGGCUCCAAUAUUAGGACUCUCCAACUUUUUUUUCUGAUUCAGCAUAAAAAUGGUGACCUGUCUCCUGACCUGCCGCCUGAUCUGCCUGCCAGGGUGGAUGCAGACCAACAUUUGCAAACCUUAACGGACAGUGUGACUGCUGAUUGGAAAGACAGCAACUGGAGCUCACAAAUAAUUUCCCCAAAGGUCAAUUAGACAGACCCACAAGCUAUCUCUGGCACACAUAGGAAGUAUCGGCCUCAUCUAUAUUUAUUGUAAUUCCCUUCUCCCUGGUCCCAUUAAAGGAGAGUUUGGGGUGCAAUAAAUAUUUCAGGAUAAAAAUGUCCAUGUACCCACUUUCCAGAGCCCCAGCCAGUGACCCCCUUAUUUCCAUUUCGAAUAUAAUAAAAUGUCUGUUCAAUCACAGAA